UCCGAAGUGUGAACUGUGAGCCUGUGACAGCCUGUGACUCGUGAUAGAGACGCACCAUCGCAUCCACACCCACUUGUCUGAUCCCUCAAGCCUCCAUCAUCCUGUUAUCACCAGAGGAAGAAGAGUACAUUGCUCAUGAAUCGUUCUGGGAGGCUGUACUAGGAGUGCACCCAAGUCAUUGGACCGGGAAUACUGACAAGGUUUCAGAGUCCUUCAGAGCCUUGCUUGAUGAGGCUUUGAAGAAUAGUGCCAAAUAUCAAAAGGAUAUCGAGGACUACUAUGACAGAAUCGAUGAGUUGAAUGAUACCUUCAAGGAGCACUUUAGUUAUGUCAUCAUUAGGCCUCGUUGUCCUUCCCCUAGGUGCUUUCAUUUGUGGCAUAGGCAAUUCCGAAUGACAAACACUAACCCUAGUAAUGCCUUCUAAUGUUAAGUUUUUUCGUUCCACUUUUCUAAACUAUAUCAGUUUGAUCCUCAUGAAUCUACUUUUGCUAAUAUUAGCUUCUUUGGGGAGCAAGUGCUUCACCGAACCUUGUGCAUAUGAAUAUGUAUCGUCAGAUCUUCAAUUCUUUUCAAUGAAGUUUGCCGGUGAUUUCUCUCACGGUGAGAAGAUGACCAUUUAUGGUUUCGUCGCAGUGCGGGAUGAUAUUGAUCAUCUGCGGAAUUAUAUAUUUUACCGAUCAUCGGAUCAUGCCCAAGAGAUUACUCCGGAUGCACCUGAUCUAUUGUUGAUCCCUCCAGCUCGAGGGAUAUCGGCCCCUUUUAAUGUCAUUGUUGAAUACUGUCUCAAGGUUAAAAACAAUGGUGUUUGGAGGAUGGUGUGCUCGUGAAUGGUCGCUUUGAUUUCAAGCAGUCACCAAUGGCUCCGAAAGUCCAGCUGCACAAAGUGCGUCUGUUUGGCCCUCUUGGACCGCUUGACAUCCGCUUUGCUCUUCUCAGAUUUGCUGUGGAGGCGACCAUAGAUGUCAAAGUCAAGAGGGCCAUGGCAGGCUACAGCCUUAGUACGGUUACGGCAUAUACUUGUGGACUCUUGGAUGAGACGGUGCUAUACAACGCGUAUGCAUCUUCAGUACCCUCCUCAGAGGAGGGGAAGAAAGAUGUCAGGUUUGCUGUGGUGGCUUGUCAUCGUCCAUGGUAGCUGUAGCAUCUGCAGUGGUGGCCGUGGAACUAGGUUGUGAAUUGAAGCUAUUUGAGAUAGCAUCGGAAAAACUUGGGUGUGGGCUUGGUAGGCAUGUCAGGAAGAGCACCCAUGAGCUCCGCUUCACCGCCCAGAAGCACAAGUGUAGCAAGGGGGCAAUUGUGAUGGGCGGGAUGUUUAAGUUGGCAUCAGAAUGGUCCGUGCUCCUUUUAAACAAAGAGAACCUUGCAUCAUGACUCAUGGAGUAGAGAUGGCUAUGUUCAUACUAGUUGCUUAA
Molecule: long non-coding RNA, 1413 nt
Organism: Setaria italica (foxtail millet)
Lineage: Eukaryota; Viridiplantae; Streptophyta; Magnoliopsida; Poales; Poaceae
Exons: 3
Source: RefSeq, a predicted model, not a curated record